GGAUAAGUUACUAAGGGCGCACGGCGGAUGCCUUGGCUCUCAGAGGCUAGGAAGGACGUGUACAGCUGCGAUAAGCUGCGUAGAGGUGCCUAAAAACCUUUGACGCGCAGAUUUCCGAAUGGGGCAACCCAUCCUUUUUAAAGGAUUUAGAGCAAACCCGCUGAACUGAAACAUCUAAGUAAGCGGAGGAAGAGAAAAUAAAAAUGAUUCCCCAAGUAGUGGCGAGCGAACGGGGAAGAGCCCAAACCAAUGAUGUUACGGCAUCAUUGGGGUUAUAGGACUACAAUGUGGAUAUACAAAUGAAAUGGAAGCAGUUGGGAAGCUGCAUCAUAGAGGGUGAGAAUCCCGUACAUGUAAGUUUUUAUAUUCUAGUAGUAUCCUGAGUAGCACGGGGUCGGUGAAGCCUUGUGUGAAUUUGCCAGCACCAUCUGGUA
This 434-nucleotide ribosomal RNA is filed under the name uncultured Bacteroidota bacterium. RNAcentral describes it as "bacterial LSU rRNA". It matches the Rfam family "Bacterial large subunit ribosomal RNA", at positions 1 to 462 of the family's 2925-position model. Lineage: Bacteria; Pseudomonadati; Bacteroidota. The record is from RNAcentral.